Molecule: ribosomal RNA, 468 nt
Filed under: uncultured bacterium
Lineage: Bacteria
Description: partial 16S ribosomal RNA
Rfam family: Bacterial small subunit ribosomal RNA
Source: RNAcentral
GACGAACGCUGGCGGCGUGCCUAACACAUGCAAGUCGAACGGAAAGGCCCUGCUUUUGUGGGGUGCUCGAGUGGCGACCGGGUGAGUAACACGUGAGUAACCUGUCACUGCCUUUGGGAUAACUUCAGGAAACAGGGGCUCAUACCGCAAAGGAGCUACUGCUGCAUGGUGGGGGUUGGAAAGUUUCGGCGGUUGGGGAUGGAAUAGCGGCUUAUCAGCUCGAUGGUUGGGUAGUGGCUUACCAUGGUUUUGACCGGUAGCCUACCUGAGCGGAUGACCGGCCACAUUGGGACUGGGGUGCGACCCAGACUCCUACGGUAGGCAACGGUGGGGAAUAUUGCACAAGAGGCUGGGGCCUAAUGCAACAACGCCACGUGCGGGAAGACAGCCAUCGGGUUGUGUACCGCAUUCGCCUUAGACGAAGCGAUAAUGACGGUAACGGGUAAAUAAGCACCGGCUAACUACGUG